This is a long non-coding RNA of Syngnathus typhle (broad-nosed pipefish), 542 nucleotides long. RefSeq lists it as uncharacterized. The record is from RefSeq and is a predicted model, not a curated record. NCBI's taxonomy places the organism in Eukaryota, Metazoa, Chordata, Actinopteri, Syngnathiformes, Syngnathidae. The transcript is spliced from 4 exons.
GGAUCAUGUCCUUAGGUCAAGUGCCAAGCUGAACAGUUGCCAUUCUGAUUACUUAAUAACUAACUGGCAUGCAAGCUGAUUUUACGAUGUGCAAAUAAGAGCAGCUCUCACCUAUCAUUUCUAGCUAUAAAAGAUGACUUUUCAUCUCGGUAGUCAUUGAGGGGCAGGAACGUGAACUGACGAGUCGACAACAGGCUACUACGAUGAACAACGCAAUCAAGUGGUUGAUCUUGGCUUUUGCUGUCGCCAUGCUGAUCACCGGUGGUGAGGCUCUGACAUGCGCACGCUGUAUGAUCUUUAUGGGGUGUUAUCGAGAAACAUGUCAACCAGGCCAAGUCUGCCGAAGAUUCUUCAAUGGCCAGGUCUGUGGGAAUCCGUGAAUGUGACGACAGACAAACCCCCAACGCAAAAUGUCCCAAAUAGGACUUCUGCGACUUGGAAGGAUUUGUGGGGGUUGAAGAUCCAACCUAUCGUCUUGGUAGUUUAGUUGAGAAGCAUUCAAAAAUGUUGAAAAAAAUAAAUAAAAAGUAAUCAUCAAAUGA